This 447-nucleotide ribosomal RNA is filed under the name uncultured bacterium. Its description in RNAcentral is "partial 16S ribosomal RNA". It matches the Rfam family "Bacterial small subunit ribosomal RNA", at positions 29 to 523 of the family's 1533-position model. The record is from RNAcentral.
AACGAACGCUGGCGGCAUGCCUAAAACAUGCAAGUCGAACGCUCCGCAAGGGGAGUGGCGCACGGGAGAGUAACGCGUGGGAACCUACCUUAUAGUUCGGAAUAACACCGGGAAACUGGUGCUAAUACCGGAUACGCCCCAAGGGGGAAAGAUUUAUCGCUAUAAGAUGGGCCCGCGUUGGAUUAGCUAGUUGGUGGGGUAAUGGCCUACCAAGGCGACGAUCCAUAGCUGGUUUGAGAGAAUGAUCAGCCUCACUGGGACUGAGACACGGCCCAGACUCCUACGGGAGGCAGCAGUUGGGAAUAUUGGACAAUGGGGGAAACCCUGAUCCAGCAAUGCCGCGUGAGUGAUGAAGGCCUUCGGGUUGUAAAGCUCUUUUGGCGGGGACGAUGAUGUCGGUACCCGCAGAAUAAGCUCCGGCUAACUUCGUGCCAGCCGCCGCGGUAA